AUGGGGGCCUAUCCCAGAGGUUUCACCCCACCAGAGGGCUCCGGCAGGGAGACCCCCUCUCCCCAUACUUUUUUUUUGUUCUGCGUAGAGGGCUUCUUUGCGUUGUUGAAGAAUGCUCAGAGGGAGAGGAACAUCAAGGGGGUGUCCUUUGGGAGCGGCGGACCAACUAUCACACAUCUUCUUUUUGCUGAUCAUAGUGUGGUCUUGGUGGAGGGCUCACGGGACUUUGAGGCACUACGCUCCAUUUGGCAGGAUUAUGAGGCUACCUCGGGCCAAAAAGUUAACCUUCAAAAAUCAGCGAUUUUCUUUGGCAAAGGUACUCCGGAUGAUGAUAAAAAUGAGCUCAAACAGGUGCUUGAAAUAACGGAGGAGGCCCUGAGUGAGCAGUAUUUGGGACUCCCUACGGUGGUUGGGAGGUCUAAGGAUGGGACGUUCAAGUACGUCAAGGAGAGUGUGAAAAGAAAAGUG
This 468-nucleotide ribosomal RNA is filed under the name Triticum aestivum (bread wheat). RNAcentral's name for it is "partial small subunit ribosomal RNA". Lineage: Eukaryota; Viridiplantae; Streptophyta; Magnoliopsida; Poales; Poaceae. The record is from RNAcentral.